AGCAGCCGCGGUAAUUCCAGCUCCAAUAGCGUAUAUUAAAGUUGUUGCAGUUAAAAAGCUCGUAGUUGAAUUUCGGGAUCAAGGAAUCGGUCAUGCCUUGGUAUGUACUGGUUUUAUUGGUUCUCACCUUCUAAAGAACCAUAAUGUCAUUUAUUUGAUGUUAUGGGGAAUUAGGACUGUUACCUUGAAAAAAUUAGAGUGUUUAAAGCAAGCUUACGCUUAAAUACAUUAGCAUGGAAUAAUGAAAUAGGACAUCAGAUUCUAUUUUGUUGGUUUCUAGGAUCGAUGUAAUGAUUAAUAGGGAUAGUUGGGGGCAUUAGUAUUCAAUUGUCAGAGGUGAAAUUCUUGGAUUUAUUGAAGACUAACUACUGCGAAAGCAUUUGCCAAGGAUGUUUUCAUUAAUCAAGAACGAAAGUUAGGGGAUCGAAGACGAUCAGAUACCGUCGUAGUCUUAACCAUAAACUAUGCCGACUAGGGAUCGGAUGAUGUUAAUUUUUAAUGACUCAUUCGGCACCUUACG
Molecule: ribosomal RNA, 520 nt
Filed under: uncultured Glomus
Lineage: Eukaryota; Fungi; Glomeromycota; Glomeromycetes; Glomerales; Glomeraceae
Description: SSU rRNA
Rfam family: Eukaryotic small subunit ribosomal RNA
Source: RNAcentral